UUAAAGUUGUCUCAACAUAUUAUACUGUGAUAGAAGAAAAUAUUUGUACAACGAAAAAUGACACACUUAAACUUUAAGCUACGCAUCAAAGGGCAAAGACGAUUUUGCCCCUUCAAUCAACCCAAAUAACAACGGAUAACCAUAAAAUGUCUGGAGCAACCAGAGAGAGCCUCUAAAAGGAGAUAUGCAUAUCUGUGAAGCCAAUGAUAGUAAGGAAUCUCAAGAAGUCAAAAAGGGAAGGAAGCGUCUGAGAGCGAAAGUAAGCUGAGGCCAGCUCCUGUCGUCAUCUGCCUCAGUUGCAGAAGGUCAAAGGUCAGCCUGUCAGCCUGAGAACCAAAGUUCACAAAUGACUGAAAAUCAUGGAAAUUCAUUGGUGAAAUGGGGUAAAAAUGGUGAAAGAUGCUGCAACUGUAGAAGUCGUGACGAAUCAAAGGCAGCUAAUUGGUGUUUUGUCUCGCCCAGCACAAUUGUCUCAUUUCCUGUCAGGCUGAUGAAUGAUUGGAUGAUUGAUUCUCCAGCGUGAUGCAGCACACGGACUCGUGGCUGAUUAGACACCAGAGGGAUCGUGCUACACGGCAGCAGGGGCCGAUCUUUAAGAAACACGGCACCUGAAGAUUGUAAUCAGAGACGACGGCUCUCACACAGCGGCCCGCGUGUCGCUGCCACCAAUCAGAUUCUUGUCAGGGCAGAUUUAUUAAAUCAGAAUGACCUUAACUACUUCUGAUUGUAAAUGAAGGG
Molecule: long non-coding RNA, 738 nt
Organism: Onychostoma macrolepis
Lineage: Eukaryota; Metazoa; Chordata; Actinopteri; Cypriniformes; Cyprinidae
Exons: 4
Source: RefSeq, a predicted model, not a curated record